Molecule: small nucleolar RNA, 138 nt
Organism: Ornithorhynchus anatinus (platypus)
Lineage: Eukaryota; Metazoa; Chordata; Mammalia; Monotremata; Ornithorhynchidae
Source: RefSeq, a predicted model, not a curated record
CUUCUCUCAGGGUCGCACCUGGAGAGUUUCCAGUGCUCUACCAGGCUCGGCUAUGGGAGGGAGAUUCAAGCAGAGGCCUACCCAUUCCAUUCCUAGCUUGACCAAUGGCUAGGGAGUGGGAGACAAUCUGUGACAAGU